This 206-nucleotide unclassified non-coding RNA is filed under the name soil metagenome. RNAcentral describes it as "partial contains 5.8S ribosomal RNA, internal transcribed spacer 2, and large subunit ribosomal RNA". The record is from RNAcentral.
AACAUCGCGCACCUGCGGGAACCUGCGGAGGGAUCAUUACCGAGUUUACAACUCCCAAACCCCUGUGAACAUACCAAUUGUUGCCUCGGCGGAUCAGCCCGCUCCCGGUAAAACGGGACGGCCCGCCAGAGGACCCCUAAACUCUGUUUCUAUAUGUAACUUCUGAGUAAAACCAUAAAUAAAUCAAAACUUUCAACAAUGGAUCU